GGAUGUAGCUCAGUGGUAAAGCACUUGUCUUACAUGUACAAAGCCCUGGGUUCAAUCCCUAGCUCCA
This 67-nucleotide transfer RNA is filed under the name Marmota monax (woodchuck). RNAcentral describes it as "tRNA.Val". The record is from RNAcentral. Lineage: Eukaryota; Metazoa; Chordata; Mammalia; Rodentia; Sciuridae.